UACGGAGGGUGCAAGCGUUACUCGGAAUCACUGGGCGUAAAGAGCGCGUAGGCGGGAUAGCAAGUCAGAUGUGAAAUCCACGGGCUCAACUCGUGAACUGCAUUUGAAACUGUUUCCCUUGAGUGUCGGAGAGGUAAUCGGAAUUCCUUGUGUAGCGGUGAAAUGCGUAGAUAUAAGGAAGAACACCAGUGGCGAAGGCGGAUUACUGGACGAUAACUGACGGUGAGGCGCGAAAGCGUGGGGAGCAAACAGG
Molecule: ribosomal RNA, 253 nt
Filed under: uncultured Oscillospiraceae bacterium
Lineage: Bacteria; Bacillati; Bacillota; Clostridia; Eubacteriales; Oscillospiraceae
Description: partial 16S ribosomal RNA
Rfam family: Bacterial small subunit ribosomal RNA
Source: RNAcentral